GCCACCGUAGCUCAGUGGUAGAGCACACCCUUGGUAAGGGUGAGGUCACGGGUUCAAAUCCCGUUGGUGGCU
Molecule: transfer RNA, 72 nt
Filed under: Phycisphaerae bacterium
Lineage: Bacteria; Pseudomonadati; Planctomycetota; Phycisphaerae
Also listed under: 1 other name
Description: tRNA-Thr
Rfam family: tRNA
About the family: Transfer RNA (tRNA) molecules are approximately 80 nucleotides in length. Their secondary structure includes four short double-helical elements and three loops (D, anti-codon, and T loops).
Source: RNAcentral